UACUGCGCGUGCGCGGCAUCCCAGCCCCGCCCCGGAGGCGUUCCUAGACGGACGGUAGUACCGUGGGGCGGCUGAUAACGCUUUAGCGAGCCGCGAAGAUAGGAGGCGGGGAAGAAGGGGGACGUGUACCUCUCCCUCAUUCACGGUACAUUUACCUGAACUCAUCACCUUCCCACCCCCAUCCCAUCGACUCUGUGCUGUAUCCUGAACCGGCUGACAGAACAAUGAUGUAGACUUGACUUGUUUUCGCCAACCUGGAAUGAAGCAAAGCUCUUGUGCACCCAAGAUCUGCUCUCUGUUGUAAAUCCUGUUCAGACCUGGUCUAAUUGGUUUGAAUAAAUAAAGAACCGGAAUCUUUCUCAUCCAAA
RNAcentral lists this long non-coding RNA (368 nucleotides) under Homo sapiens (human). Its description in RNAcentral is "HSALNT0318849". Lineage: Eukaryota; Metazoa; Chordata; Mammalia; Primates; Hominidae. The record is from RNAcentral.